Molecule: ribosomal RNA, 493 nt
Filed under: uncultured bacterium
Lineage: Bacteria
Description: bacterial SSU rRNA
Rfam family: Bacterial small subunit ribosomal RNA
Source: RNAcentral
AUUGAACGCUGGCGGAAUGCUUUACACAUGCAAGUCGAACGGCAGCACGGGGGCAACCCUGGUGGCGAGUGGCGAACGGGUGAGUAAUACAUCGGAACGUGCCCAGUCGUGGGGGAUAACUACGCGAAAGCGUAGCUAAUACCGCAUACGAUCUACGGAUGAAAGCGGGGGAUCGCAAGACCUCGCGCGAUUGGAGCGGCCGAUGGCAGAUUAGGUAGUUGGUGGGGUAAAGGCUCACCAAGCCUUCGAUCUGUAGCUGGUCUGAGAGGACGACCAGCCACACUGGGACUGAGACACGGCCCAGACUCCUGCGGGAGGCAGCAGUGGGGAAUUUUGGACAAUGGGCGCAAGCCUGAUCCAGCCAUUCCGCGUGCAGGAUGAAGGCCCUCGGGUUGUAAACUGCUUUUGUACGGAACGAAACGCGCUGAGCUAAUACCUCGGCGUAAUGACGGUACCGUAAGAAUAAGCACCGGCUAACUACGUGCCAGCAGCC